Molecule: ribosomal RNA, 427 nt
Filed under: uncultured bacterium
Lineage: Bacteria
Description: partial 16S ribosomal RNA
Rfam family: Bacterial small subunit ribosomal RNA
Source: RNAcentral
UGGGGAAUAUUGAAUAAUGGGCGCAAGCCUGAUGCAGCCAUGCCGCGUGUGUGAAGAAGGCCUUCGGGUUGUAAAGCACUUUCAGCGAGGAGGAAGGGUAGUGUGUUAAUAGCACAUUGCAUUGACGUUACUCGCAGAAGAAGCACCGGCUAACUCCGUGCCAGCAGCCGCGGUAAUACGGAGGGUGCAAGCGUUAAUCGGAAUUACUGGGCGUAAAGCGCACGCAGGAGGUUUGUUAAGUCAGAUGUGAAAUCCCCGCGCUUAACGUGGGAACUGCAUUUGAAACUGGCAAGCUAGAGUCUUGUAGAGGGGGGUAGAAUUCCAGGUGUAGCGGUGAAAUGCGUAGAGAUCUGGAGGAAUACCGGUGGCGAAGGCGGCCCCCUGGACAAAGACUGACGCUCAGGUGCGAAAGCGUGGGGAGCAAACA